This 467-nucleotide ribosomal RNA is filed under the name uncultured bacterium. Its description in RNAcentral is "partial 16S ribosomal RNA". It matches the Rfam family "Bacterial small subunit ribosomal RNA", at positions 28 to 507 of the family's 1533-position model. The record is from RNAcentral.
GACGAACGCUGGCGGCGUGCUUAACACAUGCAAGUCGAACGGAAAGGCCCUGCUUUUGUGGGGUGCUCGAGUGGCGAACGGGUGAGUAACACGUGAGUAACCUGCCCUUGACUUUGGGAUAACUUCAGGAAACUGGGGCUAAUACCGGAGAGGAGCUCCUGCUGCAUGGUGGGGUUUGGAAAAUUGCGGGGUUGGGGGUGGACUUGCGGCUUAUCAGGCUGCUGGUGGGGGUGUGGAUUACCAAGGCUUUGAAGGGUAGCCGGCCUUAGAGGGUGACCGGCCACAUUGGGACUGAGAUACGGCCCAGACUCCUAUGGGAGGCAGCAGUGGGGAAUAUUGCACAAUGGGCGGAAGCCUGAUGCAGCAACGCCGCGUGCGGGAUGACGUCCUUCGGGUUGUAAACCGCUUUCGCCUGUGACGAAGCGUGAGUGACGGUAAUGGGUAAAGAAGCACCGGCUAACUACGUG